AUACGGAGGGUGCAAGCGUUAUUCGGAAUUACUGGGCGUAAAGCGCGUGCAGGCGGGUAGGCAAGUCUGAUGUGAAAGCCCUGGGCUCAACCUGGGAAGUGCAUUGGAAACUGCUUAUCUUGAGUGCUGGAGAGGAAGGGGGAAUUCCCGGUGUAGAGGUGAAAUUCGUAGAGAUCGGGAGGAAUACCAGUGGCGAAGGCGCCCUUCUGGACGGCAACUGACGCUGAGACGCGAAAGCGUGGGGAGC
This 247-nucleotide ribosomal RNA is filed under the name uncultured bacterium. RNAcentral's name for it is "partial 16S ribosomal RNA". It matches the Rfam family "Bacterial small subunit ribosomal RNA", at positions 523 to 769 of the family's 1533-position model. The record is from RNAcentral.